AUCCCAUCCACACCUGAGAGGAGAGUGAGGCCCAGUAAACGGUGUUGAUGUAAGUAAUUGUUCCCGACUCACUUACACGUGGCGCAGGAAAUGCCAUACCAACAUAGAAUAGAAUAGAAAUGGAAUUUGUUAUUCACGAAAUCACCACUCUCUCAAAUCAAACCUUCCCUCCCCCCUCUUUCUGCUCUUAAACAUUGUCCCUUAUUUUCUCCCUGCCUUCAGUACAUGCAGGAGGCUUUGACUAUACAAUGCAUGUAGGAGGUUUGAAGAAGACCAAGUAACCUGGAAGAAGCUUUGACAUACAUUCAGGUAAAAUGAGAGACAGCACAUUGCUAAACUGUCACCAAAAUAAUGUCAGAGCAGUCGCAGGUGCACCUUCAGUUGAGAAAGAUUUUGCUUCUUCAAUAAAAGCAGCUACUGAAGUUCCUCCAUCGUAUUUUCAGUUCUAUGUCUGGUCAGAUGUGGGAAUUAAUCUUCAUGUUGAUUUAAAUUUGUCCUCAUCAGAUUGGAUUAACAGGUUUAGAAAUGAGGUUUGCAUAAGUGAGAAUAUGCAUCGAAACAAAUCCCGAAGCCUUUGGCAGGAUCUGAGCGGCUUAGGAGAGAAUUAUACACAAGGUAAAUCUUCCUUUUUGUUGAGUACAAAUUCUGGUCAAAUUGAGGAUCAUGGUGGACAAGCCAGAUCUUCCUCAAGCUUGAAACUGAAAAAAGAUGGUGCUACAGAGUUAGGUCAACAGAAUAAAGAUGACAUUCCAUUGAUAUGUGAUUCAUUAACUCCAUGCAGCAUGACUAUAGAAGUGAAAGAUGAUUUACAGGAAAAUCAUUCAACUGUCUCAGCUGAACUGAAUGUAAAUGUGGUAGACAAUUUAAUGCAAGAUCAAUCAACUGUCUCAGCUGAGGUCAGUUGUGCUAAAGGUGCAUCUAAGAAAUUCAUUGAUUCAGAUGCUACCAAUAUGCCAUUCAUCAAGUCACUUUGUGAUUCUGUUGUCAACUCAGUGUCAGAUCCUGGCAUGCUAGAACUUCGAAAUUCAAAACCUGAUAAUGAAUGUUCUGAGGAUUGUGCUCUGCCAAAUGGUUCUUGCUUUGUGAACCCUGGUGUGGUGUGUGCUGGAGCUUCAUUAAGUAGUUCUGUAGGACUACAAAAUUCAGAAGUUAUAAGUUGUCAUAAAUAUGCAUCAGUUUCACUCUAUGAUAAUGAUGGUUCCAUGGAUUUAAGUGAUCCAAAAAGUACUGCAGACAUGGAACAGGGCAGACUAGUCAAAACUCGGAUUAAUUUUGAAACUGACAGUAACAAUUUCACAUCAGUAACUGAUGAAUGGGAGGUGGGCAAGAUUGUUGAUGGAAGGGAGAGUUCAGAAUGCUCCCAAUUUGAUGAUCCAAUGAAGAAAUCUAGCCUAGACUAUAAUAAUCAUGAUUCUAAAAUGGAACUCCGUAAAAAGAGAAAAAACAGAGACUCUGAGAUUCAAGGUUCAAAUGGUAAACCUACUACUACAAGAGUUUUACGAAGCAUGAAGAAUACUACUACAAGAGUUUUACGAAGCAUGAAGAAUACUGCCGUGAAGCCUCCUAGAUGAUCCAUGAGGUUAAUCUCCAAGUGAAUUCAUGAAGUGGUUUGUGUGUUAUUUGGGGUAAAUAGUUCGAGAUUUUUAAAUGGAAUUAUAAUCUACUAUUCCAAAGAGGAAGAAUGACAUUUAGUUGCUUCAUUCUUUUGGAAGAGUUAUACCCACAGUAAUAAAAAAGCUAGGUAAUAUUUCAGAUAGAUUUCAGUUAAACAGUUGAAGAAUGAGCUAUAGUUCUUUCUAUUUUUGGUGCUUAGAAACGAUAAAGUUUAUGUUUGUUUUAAUAUGCAUCCUUUAAGACACUAUUUGUGAUUGUAUAUUUAUAUGGAUCAUAUUAUUUACCAUUAAAUUUGCUUGAUGUGGGCCAAUAUGUGGCAUAAUUUAAUUGG
Molecule: RNA transcript, 1945 nt
Organism: Glycine soja
Lineage: Eukaryota; Viridiplantae; Streptophyta; Magnoliopsida; Fabales; Fabaceae
Exons: 6
Source: RefSeq, a predicted model, not a curated record